Molecule: ribosomal RNA, 449 nt
Filed under: uncultured bacterium
Lineage: Bacteria
Description: partial 16S ribosomal RNA
Rfam family: Bacterial small subunit ribosomal RNA
Source: RNAcentral
AACGAACGCUGGCGGCAUGCCGAACACAUGCAAGUCGAACGAGAUCUUCGGGUCUAGUGGCGCACGGGUGCGUAACGCGUGGGAAUCUGCCCUUUGGUUCGGAAUAACAGUUGGAAACGACUGCUAAUACCGGAUGAUGACGAAAGUCCAAAGAUUUAUCGCCAGAGGAUGAGCCCGCGUAGGAUUAGCUAGUUGGUGUGGUAAAGGCGCACCAAGGCGACGAUCCUUGGCUGGUCUGAGAGGAUGAUCAGCCACACUGGGACUGAGACACGGCCCAGACUCCUACGGGAGGCAGCGGUGGGGAGUAUUGGACAAGGGGCGAAAGCCUGAUCCAGCAAUGCCGCGGGAGUGAUGAAGGCCUUAGGGUUAAAAAGCUCGUGUACCCGGGAUGAUAAUGACAGUACCGGGAGAAUAAGCUCCGGCUAACUCCGUGCCAGCCGCCGCCGUAA